RNAcentral lists this ribosomal RNA (397 nucleotides) under uncultured bacterium. Its description in RNAcentral is "bacterial SSU rRNA". It matches the Rfam family "Bacterial small subunit ribosomal RNA", at positions 362 to 776 of the family's 1533-position model. The record is from RNAcentral.
UAUUGCACAAUGGGCGCAAGCCUGAUGCAGCGACGCCGCGUGAGCGAAGAAGUAUUUCGGAGUGUAAAGCUCUAUCAGCAGGGAAGAAAAUGACGGUACCUGACUAAGAAGCUCCGGCUAAAUACGUGCCAGCAGCCGCGGUAAUACGUAUGGAGCAAGCGUUAUCCGGAAUUACUGGGUGUAAAGGGAGCGUAGACGGAUGUGCAAGUCUGAUGUGAAAGGCGGGGGCUCAACCCCUGGACUGCAUUGGAAACUGUAAAUCUUGAGUGCCGGAGAGGUAAGCGGAAUUCCUAGUGUAGCGGUGAAAUGCGUAGAUAUUAGGAGGAACACCAGUGGCGAAGGCGGCUUACUGGACGGUAACUGACGUUGAGGCUCGAAAGCGUGGGGAGCAAACAGG